RNAcentral lists this ribosomal RNA (253 nucleotides) under uncultured bacterium. RNAcentral describes it as "partial 16S ribosomal RNA". It matches the Rfam family "Bacterial small subunit ribosomal RNA", at positions 524 to 776 of the family's 1533-position model. The record is from RNAcentral.
UACGAAGGUCCCAAGCGUUAUCCGGAUUUAUUGGGUUUAAAGGGUGCGUAGGCGGCUUAAUAAGUCAUUGGUGAAAGCUCGCAGCUCAACUGCGAAACUGCCAUUGAAACUGUUUAGCUUGAAUGUGGUUGAAGUGGGCGGAAUACAACAUGUAGCGGUGAAAUGCUUAGAUAUGUUUUAGAACACCGAUUGCGAAGGCAGCUCACUAAGCCAAUAUUGACGCUGAGGCACGAAGGCGUGGGUAGCAAACAGG